CCCCGGCGCUGCUAUGGCCGCACAUGGCCCGGCCGCUCCCCUCCGCCGCGCCCCCAUUGGCCGCCGCCGCCGCCGGGAGCGCCGCCAUUGGCGCCGAGAGGAGCGGGCGCGGGAGGGACCGAACCGGGAGAGGUUCCCUUUCCCUGGCACAGCUCUGUGGCAGCUCCAGCAGCACCCCAAGCUCCACUGCUGCCACGAGUUGGCUGAGGACGCAUCAGGACUCCCCCACAUCUCGGAUUCCAUCACCUAAAGCCGAUGGGAGGAAGAAGUCUUUGUCUUUUGCUGCUCUUCUCGUUGCUUUCCUUCAGCUGCUCUCAGGUUGUUUGCGUUGUCUGAAGUGGAAACGAAGCCACAGUUGUUCCCAUUUCACCCAUCGCCGCUCGGGCCGCCAUCACAACAGUGUGUUGUUUUGUCAGCGUGCACAAAGCAGAAGGGAAAUCAGCUCACAGCUCUGCAAUCACAUCGGCUCUGCAGUGCUGACGGGAGGGAAAAGCGGCGCUGAACUUAAUGGGAACCGUCGGGACAAAAAAGGGCUCCUGGUCUGCAUGGCCACGGCCCCUCCACCGCUCCUGUGCCUUCCACCUCCUGCCCUGGCUCCAGCUGGAACCCGAGGCUGAGCUGUACAACCAUUACCCCACGGCUGUGUCCCAGCAGUGCAGCCUAAGAGCACUGGGAAGCGGCUCAGGACAAAGGUGGGGUCUUCCAGCCAUCACAGGGCCUGGCUGUGGGGUUAGAACAGAACGAGAGCUCAGCACACGAAUUUCACAUUGACAUUUUUAUUAACGCCAACUGCUUUAAUUUUUGUUGUGGUUUUCUGGUUGGUUGGUUGGUUGGUUUUUUAAACAAGAGCACAAAAAUGUUUGGGGGGGAGGAGGGGGGGGGGGGAAGCGGUCUGACAGUCUGAUGACCUUCUGAAGUACAGUGAAGCCACAACAAGGAUGAAUUCCUGUUAAAGAAAGGGAAAAAGAACCAUCCGGAGCUCCAACCUUUUAGUCAGAGGGUGUUGUGUUGGUGAGCAGCCCGCCCUGCUUUGACAGCACACGGCUUAGGCUUCAUCAGCACUCCACUCACCGCUCAUUUAAGGCUUCUGAAUCCAUCGACAUCACAGAAAGGAACGGAAAGCUAUUGCUGCUACGGCCACGAGGAGUGGGACAGGCUGGGCUGCGGGGGCACGGAGCAGAGCGUGCCCUGCCAGCAGUGGGAGAGCUGGGCACGCAGUGCUGCCCGUCGGCAUGCAUGGUGAGGGUGCCGUGGAGUCAGGAGAGAAAGGAUAGACCGCGUGAAUCGUCCUCUCGUUUUAACGUGGCUAUGAGAGAUGUUUCCAUACAAUCCUGGUAUCUCUGAGAAGGACAUCAGCAAAGUGGAACGGAGGAGCGGAGAGCGACAGAACGGUUUUCUUUCCGCUGAGAGGUAACACAAAAAGGGGGGGAAACCUACGAUCCGUGGGGCUGAGGGGGGGGGAAGGGG
Molecule: long non-coding RNA, 1467 nt
Filed under: Gallus gallus (chicken)
Lineage: Eukaryota; Metazoa; Chordata; Aves; Galliformes; Phasianidae
Source: RNAcentral